This 447-nucleotide ribosomal RNA is filed under the name uncultured bacterium. RNAcentral's name for it is "partial 16S ribosomal RNA". It matches the Rfam family "Bacterial small subunit ribosomal RNA", at positions 29 to 523 of the family's 1533-position model. The record is from RNAcentral.
AACGAACGCUGGCGGCAUGCCUAACACAUGCAAGUCGAACGCCCCGCAAGGGGAGUGGCGAACGGGUGAGUAACGCGUGGGAACCUACCCAGCAGUUGGGGAUAACCGCGGGAAACUGCGGCUAAUACCGAAUACGUCCUUAGGGAGAAAGAUUUAUCGCUGUUGGAGGGGCCCGCGUCGGAUUAGCUAGUUGGUGAGGUAACGGCUCACCAAGGCGACGAUCCGUAGCUGGUCUGAGAGGAUGAUCAGCCACACUGGGACUUAGACACGGCCCAGACUCCUACGGGAGGCAGCGGUGGGGAAUAUUGGACAAUGGGGGCAACCCUGAUCCAGCAAUGCCGCGUGAGUGAUGAAGGCCUUAGGGUUGUAAAGCUCUUUUACCGGGGACGAUGAUGACGGUACCCGGAGAAUAAGCCCCGGCUAACUUCGUGCCAGCAGCCGCCGUAA